Molecule: ribosomal RNA, 406 nt
Filed under: uncultured bacterium
Lineage: Bacteria
Description: partial 16S ribosomal RNA
Rfam family: Bacterial small subunit ribosomal RNA
Source: RNAcentral
AUUGAACGCUGGCGGCAGGCUUAACACAUGCAAGUCGAACGAGUGGCGGACGGGUGAGUCAUGCUUGGGAAUCUAGCUUAUGGAGGGGGAUAACUACGGGAAACUGUAGCUAAUACCGCGUACCAUAGGAUUCGCCCAAGUGGGAUUAGUUAGUUGGUGAGGUAACGGCUCACAAAGCCGACGAUCUCUAGAUGGUCUGAGAGGAUGACCAGCCACACGGGGACUGAGACACGGCCCAGACUCCUACGGGAGGCAGCAGUGGGGAAUAUUGCACAAUGGGCGAAAGCCUGAUGCAGCCAUGCCGCGUGUAGGAAGAAGGCCGUAGGGUUGUAAAGUACUUUCAGCGGGGAGGCGUUACCCGCAGAAGAAGCACCGGCUAACUCCGUGCCAGCAGCCGCGUUAAUUC